AAUAAACCAAUUUUUCACUUUUUACCUUCAAUUUUUGACUCUUGUCUUAUUCAAAAUUUUUUUGCGAUUGAUAUUUUUGUUUUUAUUAGAUGAUAAAUUAUGAAUAGUAUUUUACAUGUGACUAAAUUUUUUAAUUUUUUUAAAUAAGACUGAUGGUCAAACAUUCGACACGGAAACCGGAG
RNAcentral lists this microRNA precursor (182 nucleotides) under Oryza brachyantha (malo sina). Its description in RNAcentral is "MIR812 microRNA precursor family". It matches the Rfam family "MIR812 microRNA precursor family". The record is from Rfam by way of RNAcentral. Lineage: Eukaryota; Viridiplantae; Streptophyta; Magnoliopsida; Poales; Poaceae.